UAGUCUGCAACUCGACUACAUGAAGCUGGAAUCGCUAGUAAUCGCGGAUCAGAAUGCCGCGGUGAAUACGUUCCCGGGUCUUGUACACACCGCCCGUCACACCAUGGGAGUCGGAAAUGCCCGAAGUCUGUGACCCAACCUUAGGGAGGGAGCAGCCGAAGGCAGGUCGGAUGACUGGGGUGAAGUCGUAACAAGGUAAC
Molecule: ribosomal RNA, 200 nt
Filed under: uncultured bacterium
Lineage: Bacteria
Description: partial 16S ribosomal RNA
Rfam family: Bacterial small subunit ribosomal RNA
Source: RNAcentral